RNAcentral lists this ribosomal RNA (464 nucleotides) under uncultured bacterium. RNAcentral's name for it is "bacterial SSU rRNA". It matches the Rfam family "Bacterial small subunit ribosomal RNA", at positions 339 to 794 of the family's 1533-position model. The record is from RNAcentral.
GUACGGGAGGCAGCAGUGGGGAAUAUUGGACAAUGGGGGGAACCCUGAUCCAGCCAUGCCGCGUGUGUGAAGAAGGCCUUUUGGUUGUAAAGCACUUUAAGCGGGGAGGAGGCUACUUAGAUUAAUACUCUAGGAUAGUGGACGUUACCCGCAGAAUAAGCACCGGCUAACUCUGUGCCAGCAGCCGCGGUAAUACAGAGGGUGCGAGCGUUAAUCGGAUUUACUGGGCGUAAAGCGUGCGUAGGUGGUCUUUUAAGUCGGAUGUGAAAUCCCUGAGCUUAACUUAGGAAUUGCAUUCGAUACUGGGAGACUAGAGUAUGGGAGAGGAUGGUAGAAUUCCAGGUGUAGCGGUGAAAUGCGUAGAGAUCUGGAGGAAUACCGAUGGCGAAGGCAGCCAUCUGGCCUAAUACUGACACUGAGGCACGAAAGCAUGGGGAGCAAACAGGAUUAGAUACCCUGGUAGC